This is a non-coding RNA of Danio rerio (zebrafish), 71 nucleotides long. NCBI's taxonomy places the organism in Eukaryota, Metazoa, Chordata, Actinopteri, Cypriniformes, Danionidae. The record is from Rfam.
GCAUUGGUGGUUCAGUGGUAGAAUUCUCGCUUGCCACGCGGGACACCUGGAGUCGAAUCCUGACUGAUACA